This 301-nucleotide ribosomal RNA is filed under the name uncultured bacterium. RNAcentral's name for it is "partial 16S ribosomal RNA". It matches the Rfam family "Bacterial small subunit ribosomal RNA", at positions 509 to 807 of the family's 1533-position model. The record is from RNAcentral.
CAGUCGCCGCGGUAACACGAAGGGGGCUAGCGUUGUUCGGAUUUACUGGGCGUAAAGCGCACGUAGGCGGAUUCUUAAGUCAGAGGUGAAAUCCCAAGGCUCAACCUUGGAACUGCUUUUGAUACUGGGGAUCUUGAGUCCGGGAGAGGUGAGUGGAACUGCGAGUGUAGAGGUGAAAUUCGUAGAUAUUCGCAAGAACACCAGUGGCGAAGGCGGCUCACUGGCCCGGUACUGACGCUGAGGUGCGAAAGCGUGGGGAGCAAACAGGAUUAGAUACCCCAGUAGUCCCUGUCUCUUAUAC